UCUUAGGCAAAUCCGGGAUCACUUACGCCGAGCACCGAGACGAGUCCUAUGAGGACGAAGUGACUGACACCACGCUUCCAGGAAAAGCCACUAAGCUUCAGCUUAAGAAAAACCGUACCGCAAACCGACACAGGUAGGCAGGGUGAGAAUCCCAAGGCGCUUGAGAGAACUCGGGUGAAGGAACUAGGCAAAAUGGCACCGUAACUUCGGGAGAAGGUGCGCCCUUUGGUGUGGUCACGUGCGUGACUGAGCAUCGAAGGGUCGCAGUAACCUGGCCGCUGCGACUGUUUAUCAAAAACACAGCACUCUGCAAACACGAAAGUGGACGUAUAGGGUGUGACGCCUGCCCGGUGCUGGAAGGUUAAUUGAUGGGGUCAGCCGCAAGGCGAAGCUCUUGAUCGAAGCCCCAGUAAACGGCGGCCGUGACUAUAACGGUCCUAAGGUAGCGAAAUUCCUUGUCGGGUAAGUUCCGACCUGCACGAAUGGCGUAACGACAGCGGCGCUGUCUCCACCCGAGACUCAGUGAAAUUGAAAUCGCUGUGAAGAUGCAGCGUUCCCGCGGCAAGACGGAAAGACCCCGUGAACCUUUACUAUAGCUUUACACUGAACGUUGAGUUCUUCUGUGUAGGAUAGGUGGGAGGCUAUGAAACCAGGACGCUAGUUCUGGUGGAGCCAUCCUUGAAAUACCACCCUGAAGUGCUUGACGUUCUAACCUAGGCCCGUAAUCCGGGUCAGGGACCGUGUAUGGUGGGUAGUUUGACUGGGGCGGUCUCCUCCCAAAGAGUAACGGAGGAGCACGAAGGUACGCUCAGCGCGGUCGGACAUCGCGCACUGUGUGCAAAGGCAUAAGCGUGCUUGACUGCGAGAUCGACGGAUCAAGCAGGUACGAAAGUAGGUCUUAGUGAUCCGGUGGUUCUGUAUGGAAGGGCCAUCGCUCAACGGAUAAAAGGUACUCCGGGGAUAACAGGCUGAUACCGCCCAAGAGUUCAUAUCGACGGCGGUGUUUGGCACCUCGAUGUCGGCUCAUCACAUCCUGGGGCUGUAGCCGGUCCCAAGGGUAUGGCUGUUCGCCAUUUAAAGUGGUACGCGAGCUGGGUUCAGAACGUCGUGAGACAGUUCGGUCCCUAUCUGUCGUGGGCGUUGGAGAUUUGAGGGGGGCUGCUCCUAGUACGAGAGGACCGGAGUGGACGUUCCGCUGGUGUUCGGGUUGUCAUGCCCAUGGCAUUGCCCGGUAGCUACGAACGGAAGUGAUAACCGCUGAAAGCAUCUAAGCGGGAAGCACGCCCCAAGAUGAGAUCUCCCGAGAGCUUGACUCUCCUAAAGGCACCAUCAAGACUAGGUGGUUGAUAGGUCAGGUGUGGAAGCGCAGCAAUGCGUUGGGCUAACUGAUACUAAUGAGCCGUGAGGCUUGAUC
RNAcentral lists this ribosomal RNA (1414 nucleotides) under metagenome. Its description in RNAcentral is "bacterial LSU rRNA". It matches the Rfam family "Bacterial large subunit ribosomal RNA", at positions 1530 to 2925 of the family's 2925-position model. The record is from RNAcentral.